Molecule: ribosomal RNA, 111 nt
Organism: Ochotona princeps (American pika)
Lineage: Eukaryota; Metazoa; Chordata; Mammalia; Lagomorpha; Ochotonidae
Source: Ensembl
UGUUGAAUGGAAACCACCCUGAACGCGCCCGAUCUCGUCUGAUCUUGGAAGCUAAGCAGGGUCGGGCCUGGUUAGUACUUGGAUGGGAGAAAUGGUGAAAGCAGACAACAA